GUAUUGGCUUACCGUGGCAGUGACGGUUAACGGGGGAUUAGGGUUCGAUUCCGGAGAGGGAGCCUGAGAAACGGCUACCACAUCUAAGGAAGGCAGCAGGCGCGCAAAUUACCCAAUUCUAACAGUUUGAGAGAGGUAGUAACAAGAAAUAACAAUACAAGGCAAUUAAAAUGCUUUGUAAUUGGAAUGAUAGAAAUUUAAACCCUUUUUAAAGUAUCAAUUGGAGGGCAAGUCUGGUGCCAGCAGCCGCGGUAAUUCCAGCUCCAAUAGCGUAUAUUAAAAUUGUUGCAGUUAAAAAGCUCGUAGUUGAAGUUCUGCUAAAAGUAACCGGUCUGCUUUUAAUAAAAGUGGUAUCUUGGUGUGUAUUUAGCAAUGAUGUCCUUUGAAGUGUUUUUUACUUUAUUGUAAUAAAGCAUAUUCAGGACUUUUACUUUGAGAAAAUUAGAGUGUUUCUAGCAGGCCGACGCUUU
RNAcentral lists this ribosomal RNA (470 nucleotides) under Hepatozoon canis. RNAcentral describes it as "bacterial SSU rRNA". It matches the Rfam family "Eukaryotic small subunit ribosomal RNA", at positions 333 to 797 of the family's 1831-position model. Lineage: Eukaryota; Apicomplexa; Hepatozoidae. The record is from RNAcentral.